Molecule: long non-coding RNA, 1775 nt
Organism: Taeniopygia guttata (zebra finch)
Lineage: Eukaryota; Metazoa; Chordata; Aves; Passeriformes; Estrildidae
Source: Ensembl
AUGCAAAAGUUCACAAGGCCCAUUCAUCUCUCUGGGGUUUUUGAGGGGCACUUGGAGGCCAAAGGCAGCAAUCCACUUCCUCCACACCAGCACGGUGGAGGAACUGGGUCUUCUGACAGGAGGUUUCUUGGCAGGACCCAGUGUCACAGCAGGAGAGCACCAGCUGGAACUGCGCUUGGGCUGGGUGCAAUGCUGGAGUCACCAGGAUUCACUGGAGUUCAGGAAAAGAAGAGCUGGGAACAAUGUUUUCUUCUAUGACCAGAAGUGGAGUUUCAUCUCACUUGGCUUUCUCUUCCUUGGUAUUUGUGAUGCAGUUCCAGUACUAUCUGUGGUAAAGCAGGAAGGUAAGAGAUAAGGGGAAUGCAUCUGUUACCAAGUCUUGUCCAAAUUACAGAUUCAGACUUUGCAGAAAUGUAGACACAGGAAAAUGUGAAAUAAACCCUAGAACUUUCCACCUCCUUUUUUCAAAGUUAGGCACAAACCUAUUUUGUUCUGCUCCUCCUAACGCUUUUGUCUAUUCUAAUAAAAUGAUGCUACUAGGAAAGACCACAGAAGUUUUAUAUGCCACUGUGAAUGUGCCAGAACUCUCCAAAAACUGGGAGAGUGGACCAGGCACCUUAGGGGCAUUUAAGCCCCCAGCUGAGAUGACACAGGCUGUGUGUAAUCCCCUAGCACCAAUUAAAAGAAAAUGCUGAGAACCUCUCUAAAGUCAGGUUGUUCUUUGCAUCAGACUCAGCCUCAGGGAAGGCUCUCAUGUCACAGAGUCUCCUGUCUAGCCCUCUUCUGUAGGUUGCUACCCACAACUCCUUUUUCAAAGAUCCUCUCGGGGAUUUUUUUUCCCUAAGAAACAAAAAAUCUCCCUCACCUGAAGAUAUGUAAGAAUUCAGAAUGUACAUACAGGUUUCCAAAUUACCUUACAGGACAUUCAUCUCAUCUCUCAUUAUUCAGACCACACUGUGGCCUUCUGGCUGCUGGAACUGAGACUUGCCAGAGAAAGCACGGGAUGUGGUUUGGACUACAGCCCCACACUUCCUUCUCCUACUGGGAGCCACUGAGUCUAACUUCUUUUGCUUUGGAAAUGGGAAUUGAUACUGAGAUUCACAGAAGUCACUUUAGCCCUCCAGAAGUACUUCCUUUCAGAAUUUGUAACUCUUGCUAUUGUUUUCAAAAUUUCAGCAAACAUAUGUGCACACAUCUGGCCUACUUUUAUAUCAGUACUAUUAAAAAUAAAAUACCGAACUGUGAGAAAGAAUUACACUAGAUAAGAAAUACAAAAGAUUUUUUCCCAUUCAGGUGGCCUUAUAUUUUAUCUAUGUAUCUAUUUAAUUACUUCCAUUCCAAUUUUGUGAUGAGUAAUGGAGGAAAAUCCUUAGAUGCUGUAUUACUGAUUCUGCAAGUCACAGUUGUGUGGCCUCUUCCUAUGAACAGUUUUUCUAACCUUACCUAAUGGAUCUACAAUUUUUUCCCCAAUUAUUUCUAUGAUUAGAUUUUACUUGUUGUGAUGACCUUGAAGGGCAGGAAUUAAGCAUAAACAAACAGGAUAAUGAUGGGGCCAAACGACAGUAACUUUAGGAAGCCUAAAAAAAGAUAUUUCUCAUUUAAGAGAGGUGAAAUGAAGAAUGAUUAACUUGCUAAAUGGCAAGUUUUCAGCUACCUACUCAUCUGCUUUUUCUUGUUACCUCUUCCCAAAUGGCUGGGAGAUUAAAUUACUUUGUUUCCUCUUCAGAAGAAAAAAAUGUUAAUGAAAAAUAUUCUUACUUAGAUGGACUGUGCUA